Molecule: long non-coding RNA, 1481 nt
Organism: Vombatus ursinus (common wombat)
Lineage: Eukaryota; Metazoa; Chordata; Mammalia; Diprotodontia; Vombatidae
Exons: 4
Source: RefSeq, a predicted model, not a curated record
AUCUUCCGAGCUCUCAGGAGUCCUGGGCUCGCCUCGGAGCCUUUUUCUGUCUGCGGGCAGUCCGGGAUCUCAGUGACCUGUAUGCCGCCCGGGAUCUCAGUGACCUGUAUGCCCCAGGGGACGUGGGGAGCAACCCCUUAGCGAGUUUCGGAGCUGUGGAGGGGUCCGCCCACCUGACUGGCAGAUGGGACCGUUAGGGUGCAGAAAUCCCAGAGAAGACGCAAGACGGGUGCGGAUAGCCCCCAGCAGGUCCUCACGCCUCAGACCCGAUCGGCAGCGGAGGCGGCGGCGGCAGUAGCUGAAGGAGCAACAGCACAGAGUUGUUAAACAGGCAGACCCCCAUCAUAAGGUGAAUUUGACCAGGAAGGGACAAUAUCACUUAGUCCUGCACCCUGAUUUUCCAGAUGGGAAAACUGGGUUCCAGAGAAGUGAUGUGAUUCUCCAUGUCAAGAAACCUUUGAUAAACCUGUCUGGAUUCCAGAGAAAAAUGUUCGAGCCUGUUCCACUGCUCACUGCCCAGAUGAAGGAAUUGAACCUGCAGCAAAAACGGAAGCGAACUAUGAAGAGAAAGAAAAGACUUGCAAUGAUUCCCUUGCUCUCUACCCAACCGUUAUAUGGACAUUGUGACCAGCAUUGGACUUAUUUUCCUUUAAAGCUUGUAUAAAACCCCUCAAGCAUUUAUGAUAGCUUCCUCCUUCUCCAAUAGUUUAGAACCUGGAUUUGUGAACUUGACACAAUCCAGUACUUUAGAAUGGAAUGUAACCUGUCUUAAUUGUAUUAUCAAGCAAUGUAUUGAUCAAAAUGACAAAAUUGUUCUAUUGGUUGAGCAACCAUCCUUUGCUGUUUUUUCCCACUAACCUUUCUCAUGAAUGGUUCCAAUCUUCUAGGGAACAUGUCCUUCAACUCAUCUCAUCAUCACUACACAGGUCAAAAAAGAUUUGUUGGGCUUCUCAUUACUGGAUUAAUUUCUGUCGCUUCCUUAAUUAUUAUAUCCACCCUGUCUUUUAUUGCAUUGCAGUCAGAGAUACAAGAUGCAUGAUUUGUAAAUGAGCUUGCAAAAAAUAUUAGCUUAGCCUUAUGAGCUCAAGAAGCUAUUGAUAGGGAUUUAUCAUAUAAAGUUAAUCUGUUAGAGCAAUCUGUGCUAUAUAUUGGAGAAGAACUUGCAGAAUCAGUAUUUAGAGCGAAAUUGAAAUGUGAUUAUCAUUUUACUAUGAUAUGUGUUACUCCUAUAGCUUAUAACUCUAGUAUAGUACAUUGGGAUAGUAUAAAGAAUCAUUAGAUUCUUAUCUAAUAAUAAUAUCUUAUCUUUUGGCAAAAUAGCAGUUAUGCAGCUGAUUUAUCUUUUCUUAUAAAUGUAACCCAGGCUAUUUCCGACAGUCUAUUCCCAGGGAUUCAUCCUCAGAAUUUAGCACAAGAAAUCUUAGAAAAAUUGGCCUUGUUAAAUAUUUCCAAAAAUAUCACUGAUUUAUUACUUCACCUUU